CCUAGAGUUGUAGGCUUUGCCUGCUAUCUCUUACCCAUGUCUUUUGAGUACCUUCGUUUCCUCGGCGGGUCCGCCCGCCGAUUGGACAAUUUAAACCAUUUGCAGUUGCAAUCAGCGUCUGGAAAAACUUAAUAGUUA
RNAcentral lists this unclassified non-coding RNA (138 nucleotides) under soil metagenome. RNAcentral describes it as "partial internal transcribed spacer 1". The record is from RNAcentral.